RNAcentral lists this ribosomal RNA (253 nucleotides) under uncultured bacterium. RNAcentral describes it as "partial 16S ribosomal RNA". It matches the Rfam family "Bacterial small subunit ribosomal RNA", at positions 524 to 776 of the family's 1533-position model. The record is from RNAcentral.
UACGUCGGUGGCAAGCGUUGUCCGGAUUUACUGGGCGUAAAGAGCGCGCAGGCGGUCGUUCAAGUCGCGUGUGAAAGCCCCCGGCUCAACUGGGGAGGGUCACGCGAUACUGAUCGACUCGAAGGCAGGAGAGGGUAGUGGAAUUCCCGGUGCAGUGGUGAAAUGCGUAGAUAUCGGGAGGAACACCAGUGGCGAAGGCGACUACCUGGCCUGUUCUUGACGCUGAGGCGCGAAAGCUAGGGGAGCAAACGGG